CAUGCAGGCGGUCUGGCGCGUUUUGUGUGACAGCGGGUGGCUCAACUACCCGAGCAUGCGAAAGACGGUUGGACUUGAGGGCUCGAGAGGGACACGGAAUUCCGGGUGGAGUGGUGAAAUGCGUAGAGAUCCGGAGGAACACCGAAGGCGAAGGCAGUGUCCUGGCGAGUGACUGACGCUGAGGUGCGAAAGCCAGGGGAGCGAACGGGAUUAGAUACCCCGGUAGUCCUGGCCGUAAACGAUGACCACCAGGUGUGGGAGGUAUCGACCCCUUCUGUGCCAAAGGGAACCCAUUAAGUGGUCCGCCUGGGGAGUACGGUCGCAAGAUUAAA
This 332-nucleotide ribosomal RNA is filed under the name uncultured bacterium. Its description in RNAcentral is "bacterial SSU rRNA". It matches the Rfam family "Bacterial small subunit ribosomal RNA", at positions 568 to 898 of the family's 1533-position model. The record is from RNAcentral.